RNAcentral lists this ribosomal RNA (465 nucleotides) under uncultured bacterium. Its description in RNAcentral is "bacterial SSU rRNA". It matches the Rfam family "Bacterial small subunit ribosomal RNA", at positions 338 to 795 of the family's 1533-position model. The record is from RNAcentral.
CCUACGGGUGGCUGCAGUGGGGAAUAUUGGACAAUGGGCGCAAGCCUGAUCCAGCCAUGCCGCGUGUGUGAAGAAGGCCUUCGGGUUGUAAAGCACUUUCAGCGAGGAGGAAGGGAGUUGUGUUAAUAGCACGGCUUUUUGACGUUACUCGCAGAAGAAGCACCGGCUAACUCUGUGCCAGCAGCCGCGGUAAUACAGAGGGUGCAAGCGUUAAUCGGAAUUACUGGGCGUAAAGCGCACGCAGGCGGUUGGUUAAGUCAGAUGUGAAAGCCCCGGGCUCAACCUGGGAAUUGCAUUUGAAACUGGCCAACUAGAGUAUGUGAGAGGGGGGUAGAAUUCCAAGUGUAGCGGUGAAAUGCGUAGAGAUUUGGAGGAAUACCAGUGGCGAAGGCGGCCCCCUGGCACAAUACUGACGCUCAGGUGCGAAAGCGUGGGGAGCAAACAGGAUUAGAUACCCAAGUAGUC